Molecule: ribosomal RNA, 484 nt
Filed under: uncultured bacterium
Lineage: Bacteria
Description: partial 16S ribosomal RNA
Rfam family: Bacterial small subunit ribosomal RNA
Source: RNAcentral
AUUGAACGCUGGCGGCAGGCUUAACACAUGCGAGUCGAGCGGAUGAAGGGAGCUUGCUCCUGGAUUCAGCGGCGGACGGUUGAGUAAUGCCCAGGAAUCUGCCUGGUAGUGGUGGAUAACGUCCGGAAACGGGCGCUAAUACCGCAUACGUCCUGAGGGUGAAAGUGGGGGAGCUUCGGACCUCAUGCUAUCAGAUGAGUCUAGGCCGGAUUAGCUAGUUGGUGGGGUAAAGGCCUACUAAGGCGGCCAUCCGUAACUGGCCUGUGUGGAUGGUCAGUCACAUUGGAACUGGGACACGGUCCAGGCUCCUACGAGACGCAGCAGUGGGGUAUGUUGGACAGUGGGCGGGAGCCUGGUCCAACGGUGCCGCGUCUGUGGAGGAGGUCUUCGGAUUGUAAAGAACUUUUAGUUGGGAGGAACGGCAGUAAGUUGAUACCUAGCUGUUUUGACGGUACCAACAGAAUAAGCACCGGCUAACUUCGUG